CUGCUAACUCUUCAAAACCUUUCUCAAAAUACAAGAUAGUAAAGUUCAAUUCAUUAUACUCAAAUCCAAAAAGGCUCUAUUUGAUAAGAAUAAGCUAUCAAGAAAAUAAUUAGUUCAGUCUAUUGCUCUACAAAUUCCCAAUAAAAUGCCACUCGAUAUCACCCAGCAGCAGUUGCAAUUGAUUAGAGUUGGCUCCAUCCUUCUAUAUAUGCAAAAGUUCAUGAGAAAGAAAAAAGAACUAAAAGAGAUUAUGAGAUUGUAAGAAAACUUUACUAUUAUGUAAAUGUUAUUUGAAUAUUAGCUCGACAAAAAUAUCAUUUAAAGAAGCCAAUUCACUUGAUUGCAUAAUCAACAUAACAAAUCCCAUAAUCUCAAACUUGUAAAUCGACCUUAAAAGUACUCUCUUGCAUUGUAAAACAUUUUAUUCUAAAUGCGAAAAAACUCUAAAUGAUCCCUUCACUUUCUCUUAGCAAAAUCUCCGAUUCACUUUAGUCCAUAAGAAGCCCAUGGAAAAAUCAAAAUUUAGCUACAAAAUAUGUAAAAUUGUCUAUGGUUAUGAUGGGAGUCUGAGGGGCUUUCUCGAAGAGUUCUUGGACGUAAUUCUCGUCGAAGCAGCAUUGGUCGACAUCAUAGACUUGGAGAAAGAGGGAAAUAGGCAUAGCCACCACCCGGAUGCUUCAUUUGAAGUAUAUAAACAAUUUGGAGUAGAGAGUAUAGAAGCUUUUCUCCUCAAUGGUUUGGGAGCUUUUAGGAAUCGAGGUUUUGAUUUGGAGCUUUGGGUUUUGGAGUUUCGAAUGUACUAAUUACUUGAUUAAAUAUUUUAAUUAGUUUGAAAAAUGUUAUUCAA
RNAcentral lists this long non-coding RNA (847 nucleotides) under Olea europaea subsp. europaea. Lineage: Eukaryota; Viridiplantae; Streptophyta; Magnoliopsida; Lamiales; Oleaceae. The record is from RNAcentral.